RNAcentral lists this ribosomal RNA (494 nucleotides) under uncultured bacterium. Its description in RNAcentral is "partial 16S ribosomal RNA". It matches the Rfam family "Bacterial small subunit ribosomal RNA", at positions 28 to 507 of the family's 1533-position model. The record is from RNAcentral.
GACGAACGCUGGCGGCGUGCUUAACACAUGCAAGUCGAACGGUGAAGCGCCUUCCUUUUUGGUGGGUGUGGAUGAGUGGCGAACGGGUGAGUAACACGUGAGUAACCUGCCCCCUUCUUCUGGAUAACCGCAUGAAAGUGUGGCUAAUACGGGAUAUUCUGGUUCUGUCGCAUGAUGGGUCUGGGAAAGAUAUUGUUUCGGUGGGGGGUGGGCUCGCGGCCUAUCAGCUUGUUGGUGGGGUGAUGGCCUACCAAGGCGGUGACGGGUAGCCGGCCUGAGAGGGUGGACGGUCACACUGGGACUGAGACACGGCCCAGACUCCUACGGGAGGCAGCAGUGGGGAAUAUUGCACAAUGGGCGCAAGCCUGAUGCAGCGACGCCGCGUGAGGGAUGGAGGCCUUCGGGUUGUGAACCUCUUUCGCCAGUGAAGCAGGCCUGCCUCGUUUGUGGGUGGGUUGACGGUAGCUGGAUAAGAAGCGCCGGCUAACUACGUG